This 742-nucleotide ribosomal RNA is filed under the name uncultured bacterium. RNAcentral describes it as "bacterial SSU rRNA". It matches the Rfam family "Bacterial small subunit ribosomal RNA", at positions 8 to 796 of the family's 1533-position model. The record is from RNAcentral.
AGAGUUUGAUCCUGGCUCAGAACGAACGCUGGCGGCAGGCUUAACACAUGCAAGUCGAACGCGUCCUUCGGGGUGAGUGGCAGACGGGUGAGUAACGCGUGGGAACGUGCCCUUCAGUUCGGGAUAACCCAGGGAAACUUGGGCUAAUACCGGAUACGUGCGAGAGCAGAAAGAUUUAUCGCUGAAGGAUCGGCCCACGUCUGAUUAGCUAGUUGGUGGGGUAAUGGCCCACCAAGGCGACGAUCAGUAGCUGGUCUGAGAGGAUGAUCAGCCACAUUGGGACUGAGACACGGCCCAAACUCCUACGGGAGGCAGCAGUGGGGAAUAUUGGACAAUGGGCGCAAGCCUGAUCCAGCCAUGCCGCGUGAGUGAUGAAGGCCUUAGGGUUGUAAAGCUCUUUCGUCCGGGACGAUAAUGACGGUACCGGAAGAAGAAGCCCCGGCUAACUUCGUGCCAGCAGCCGCGGUAAUACGAAGGGGGCUAGCGUUGUUCGGAAUCACUGGGCGUAAAGGGCGCGUAGGCGGCUUUGUAAGUCGGGGGUGAAAGCCUGUGGCUCAACCACAGAAUUGCCUUCGAUACUGCAUGGCUUGAGACCGGAAGAGGUAAGUGGAACUGCGAGUGUAGAGGUGAAAUUCGUAGAUAUUCGCAAGAACACCAGUGGCGAAGGCGGCUUACUGGUCCGGUUCUGNNGCUGAGGCGCGAAAGCGUGGGGAGCAAACAGGAUUAGAUACCCUAGUAGUCC